This 1853-nucleotide long non-coding RNA is filed under the name Nicotiana tabacum (common tobacco). Its description in RNAcentral is "long non-coding RNA (NTAB_LNC003731)". Lineage: Eukaryota; Viridiplantae; Streptophyta; Magnoliopsida; Solanales; Solanaceae. The record is from RNAcentral.
CCCCAAAUAAAAUUCAUAGACCCCCGUCCCUAAAUCGUUUCCGCCUUACUCCGCCCACCGAAAAUCGCCUCGCGAUGGUUCCGAUGGCUCAAUCUCCUCCAAAUUGAUACCAUAGAAUACCCAUGACUCCCUCAUACCAAAUCCAUAACGAGAUUCCCUACAAUUUGGCCAAAAAUUGUCGAAUCUUAAAUCUAAGUUCAAACCCUAUAAAUUCAAAAAUCAAUUUCCAUUGAAACUGAUGACAUGCAUCGAUCCAAGCCUCUGGCCUUUCAUGAUUAGAAGGCUAAUUCAUCACAAAACUGAUGUUGUUCAUUUGUUCUUUACAAAAAAUAAGUGAUUAGCAUCAGUUUCGUGUGAGUCGUGAUAUCAAGGGUGAAGUCAAGCCUAUCUGGUGAGCUCCCUUUUGUUUUUCUAUUCAUUUUUUUAAUUUGUUUCACCUUUUAUUCUCCUUCUUCUUCUUUUCUUCUUGUUUUCUUUCUUGAACAUUCUUCUAAAUUAUUUCCAUUCACAAGUCUGUUUCCUUCAUCUACAUUAAUCUUAUUUCAAUAGCAUUUUCUAAAUUUAUAAUCAUAUAAGAAAGGUCUAGGUUUAAUUGAAUUGGUCGAGGCUUAUUCAAAAAUGUUUUGGAAGUCGUUAGUUCCAUUUAUAGUCUUAUAGCAGAUUAAUUCAAUGAAUCGAUAUGCUUCAGUUGUUAGAAAUUUUCUUAAUUUUGAAGUGCAUUUGUGUUAGCUCGUUUGUUUCCUGUUUAUACGAAUUUAGAGUUUAGGAGUGAUAAAUAAUAGAAGCUUUGAGGGUAAUUUGUGUAGUCUAGACUAAGGAAACCCGUCAAUAAUUGAAUUAGGAAGCUUCUAAUAAGUGGUGGGGUUUAAGAAUGCACUACUGACUAAUUUAAAGAACUAAGUUAAGUGGAGUAAAUUAAAAAUUAUUGAAAGGGCAUUUGUGAAUCUAAGGGGGCAUUUUCUACUGCCUAUAUAGAGAUCGGAAUUGAAAGAAGGAAGGGGGGAGAAAAGAAUAGAGAUAGAGAUCCAGAGAGAAAAAGAAACAAAGAGUUUUAAGAUAGAGAUUUCAGGAAAAAAAUCACAAACGACUGAGUCUACUAUUCCAUUGAGCUUCAUCAGGAUUUUCUGAGUUUUUUUUUCUGAAAGCAAGUUUUCUUAUUCUGAGAUUUGGAAUGAAUUGAUAUCAGUUUUUUUUUUGAAAAGUCUUCUGGUUCAUGAUUUGUUAAGAGUCACUAUUCCAUUGGUUUCUAAUUUCAAGUUUUGAGGUUUAUGAGCUUUUGAACCAAUUCUGAUUCAUCUGGGCUUGCAGUUGUUUUGAAUCAAGAGUUGUGGUUAUUUCCUUGUUGUUUGGUCUGUUGUUACUGCUGCCCUGAGUCUCAGGCUGAUUUUGGUUCUUUCUCUUGUUAUUAUUCAGGUAUACGCUUCUACUUCCACUUAAUGUAAAGCUUGGCUUGGAAUCAAAAAAUGGAUUUAUGGAGCUUUGAGUAGUAGUUGUGUUGUGUUUAGUUUACUUGUUUAUUUCUAUUUCAUUUAGGUAGUUUUGUUUAUUACCCCUCUACCCCUGAAUAUGUGACCAAGAGAUUAAUAUUCUGAAUAUUGUAGAUUACAUAAUAGUUUGGAUUGAUAUCUCUUUUAGUCUAAGCCUUUUAAAUGUAUCCAGUUGGUUGCUUGUUUUUGCUUUAAGGUCUGGAUUUGAGCCUUGUUUAAUAUGGCUGAUUCAGGAUCUUUUGGAUUGUUAAAUGUGUACUAGUUAAGGUUGUUCUAAGUCUGCUAUAGCAUAGACUUGAAUCUUGUAUGCAAAAUUUGCAUAAUGAGUUUCAGCGUAAGUGCAUGUCUGCCUUCCUACAGCGUGGC